ACUACAGAUAGCGACCUGAUAUCUACCCCGCCAGCCUUCAUGAUUGCGCUGAGGUACCCCGCCACCCAGAUAAACCUCAUUUGGCCCCAAGCCCACUGCACACACACGUGCGGUGAUGUGACUGAUUUUGUGGCGUCAGCUGAUAGUCUGAGGUGGCAAGGUGGCAUCUGUCAACAGCAGUCGGGUGUCUCCUGCAACAGUGAAAGCAUUUGUAAACAAAGUCAAGUGCCACGUAGUGAGGAGAGACAGGUACCAGCAGGAGCAGUAGUGGUAACAACAGCAGGAUGGGGAGCUUCAGCAAGAUCCUGCCAUACUCCUGCUAUGAGCUCGGCCACUGCUGGAAACACUCGUGCUCCUCAGCCUCCUUUGAAAUCUGUAUCAUUGGGUUCAUUGAAAGCAUCAAAAUCUAUGGUGUGGUGUACUUGCUAACCGGUCUUGUGAAUGCUCGGAAAAUAAGUAUGAAGUAUGGAAAAAAAGCUCUUGAAGAACUACUUAACAUCAGUUUGUUUCCUGACAGUCAAUGCUUUUGGGUACAUUGGCUCCUACUGUGUUGUCAGAAGGUGGAAUUUGAGUCGGCCAAGCUUCAGAAAUGCAGGAAGGAUUAGCGGUGAUGACUGCAGGCUGCCAUCGACCCGCAGGUCAUCACAGGAAUCAAAUGCAGCAUCAGUAUGGCUCACCAAACACUUCCCCUCACACUGGUGGUGUUGACCUGCCUUGUGAACACCUGCCCUCCUGUGUUCCUGCCCUUAAUAGCCCUCCAGGUGACAUCAGAAUGUGGAUGAGGGGACAAGAGAGCCAGUGUUCCAAGUACCACCACCAUCACCACUGCCACCACCACCACCACCACCAUCAGGAGCACAGAUUCACUGAAGACUCUACCAAGAUUUCUUUGAGUUUUUUGAUAAAUUUAACUUCCAGGAGAGAGAGAGAUGCUGAUUGUUAAAGGCAGUGUGUGAAGCCUGCCCACUGUCUUUGUAUAUACAGGUUAGGGUGUGUGUGUGUGUGUGUGUGUGUGUGUGUGUGUGUGUGUGUGUGUGUGUGUGUGUGUGUGUGUGUGUGAGUGUUUGUUUGUUUUGUAUCCUCCACACUGCUGGUCUUAAUCUAGCUUGCCAAAACUAAAUGAAGUCAUCCACAGCCACAGCCUUAUUCUUCCUUUCAUUUGUAUCUACACAGUCCUAUGAGCAGCUCCUCCUCCUCCUCCUCCUCCUCCUCCUCCUCCUCCUCCUCCUCCUCCUCC
Molecule: RNA transcript, 1237 nt
Organism: Scylla paramamosain (green mud crab)
Lineage: Eukaryota; Metazoa; Arthropoda; Malacostraca; Decapoda; Portunidae
Gene name: transmembrane protein 135-like
Exons: 7
Source: RefSeq, a predicted model, not a curated record